UACGAAGGGGGCGAGCGUUAUUCGGAAUCACUGGGCGUAAAGCGUGCGUAGGUUGUUUUGUAAGUUGGGAGUGAAAGCCCAGAGCUCAACUCUGGAAUUGCUCUCAAAACUACAAGACUAGAAUCCGGGAGAGGAUAGCGGAAUUCCCAGUGUAGCAGUGAAAUGCGUAGAUAUUGGGAGGAACACCAGUGGCGUAAGCGGCUAUCUGGACCGGCAUUGACACUGAGGCACGAAAGCGUGGGGAUCAAACAGG
RNAcentral lists this ribosomal RNA (253 nucleotides) under uncultured bacterium. RNAcentral describes it as "partial 16S ribosomal RNA". It matches the Rfam family "Bacterial small subunit ribosomal RNA", at positions 524 to 776 of the family's 1533-position model. The record is from RNAcentral.